This 465-nucleotide ribosomal RNA is filed under the name Vreelandella stevensii. RNAcentral's name for it is "partial 16S ribosomal RNA". It matches the Rfam family "Bacterial small subunit ribosomal RNA", at positions 338 to 795 of the family's 1533-position model. The record is from RNAcentral. Lineage: Bacteria; Pseudomonadati; Pseudomonadota; Gammaproteobacteria; Oceanospirillales; Halomonadaceae.
CCUACGGGCGGCUGCAGUGGGGAAUAUUGGACAAUGGGGGGAACCCUGAUCCAGCCAUGCCGCGUGUGUGAAGAAGGCCCUCGGGUUGUAAAGCACUUUCAGUGAGGAAGAACGCCUGGUGGUUAAUACCCAUCAGGAAAGACAUCACUCACAGAAGAAGCACCGGCUAACUCCGUGCCAGCAGCCGCGGUAAUACGGAGGGUGCGAGCGUUAAUCGGAAUUACUGGGCGUAAAGCGCGCGUAGGUGGCUUGAUAAGCCGGUUGUGAAAGCCCCGGGCUCAACCUGGGAACGGCAUCCGGAACUGUCAAGCUAGAGGGCAGGAGAGGAAGGUAGAAUUCCCGGUGUAGCGGUGAAAUGCGUAGAGAUCGGGAGGAAUACCAGUGGCGAAGGCGGCCUUCUGGACUGACACUGACACUGAGGUGCGAAAGCGUGGGUAGCAAACAGGAUUAGAUACCCCGGUAGUC